AGCAGUAGCCACGGGAAUACGAAGGGGGCUAGCGUUGCUCGGAAUGACUGGGCGUAAAGGGCGCGUAGGCGGUUUUGACAGUCAGAUGUGAAAUUCCUGGGCUUAACCUGGGGGCUGCAUUUGAGACGUCAAGACUAGAGUGUGAGAGAGGGUUGUGGAAUUCCCAGUGUAGAGGUGAAAUUCGUAGAUAUUGGGAAGAACACCGGUGGCGAAGGCGGCAACCUGGCUCAUUACUGACGCUGAGGCGCGAAAGCGUGGGGAGCAAACAGGAUUAGAUACCCCCGUAGUCCCUGUCUCUUAUAC
Molecule: ribosomal RNA, 303 nt
Filed under: uncultured bacterium
Lineage: Bacteria
Description: partial 16S ribosomal RNA
Rfam family: Bacterial small subunit ribosomal RNA
Source: RNAcentral